RNAcentral lists this ribosomal RNA (502 nucleotides) under uncultured Glomus. RNAcentral describes it as "SSU rRNA". It matches the Rfam family "Eukaryotic small subunit ribosomal RNA", at positions 569 to 1076 of the family's 1831-position model. The record is from RNAcentral. Lineage: Eukaryota; Fungi; Glomeromycota; Glomeromycetes; Glomerales; Glomeraceae.
AGCAGCCGCGGUAAUUCCAGCUCCAAUAGCGUAUAUUAAAGUUGCUGCAGUUAAAAAGCUCGUAGUUGAAUUUCGGGAUCAUCAUGUCGGUCGUGCCUCGGUACGUACUGGCAUGUUGGUUUCUCCCUUCUGACGAAUCAUGAUGUCAUUUAUUUGGUGUUGUGGGGAAUCAGGACUGUUACUUUGAAAAAAAUUAGAGUGUUUAAAGCAGGCUCACGCUUGAAUACAUUAGCAUGGAAUAAUGAAAUAGGACGUUUGAUUCUAUUUUGUUGGUUUCUAGGAUCGACGUAAUGAUUAAUAGGGAUAGUUGGGGGCAUUAGUAUUCAAUUGUCAGAGGUGAAAUUCUUGGAUUUAUUGAAGACUAACUACUGCGAAAGCAUUUGCCAAGGAUGUUUUCAUUAAUCAAGAACGAAAGUUAGGGGAUCGAAGACGAUCAGAUACCGUCGUAGUCUUAACCAUAAACUAUGCCGACUAGGGAUCGGAUGAUGUAAUUUUUAAUGUA